GACGAACGCUGGCGGCGUGCUUAACACAUGCAAGUCGAACGGAAAGGCCCAGCUUGCUGGGUACUCGAGUGGCGAACGGGUGAGUAACACGUGGGUGAUCUGCCCUGGACUCUGGGAUAAGCCUGGGAAACUGGGUCUAAUACCGGAUAUGACCUUACAUCGCAUGGUGUUUGGUGGAAAGCUUUUGCGGUUCAGGAUGGGCCCGCGGCCUAUCAGCUUGUUGGUGGGGUAAUGGCCUACCAAGGCGACGACGGGUAGCCGACCUGAGAGGGUGAUCGGCCACACUGGGACUGAGACACGGCCCAGACUCCUACGGGAGGCAGCAGUGGGGAAUAUUGAACAAUGGGAGCAAGCCGGAGGCAGCGACGCCGCGUGAGGGAUGACGGCCUUCGGGGUGUAAACCUCUUUCACCAGGGACGAAGCGUGAGUGACGGUACCUGGAGAAGAAGCACCGGCCAACUACG
This 464-nucleotide ribosomal RNA is filed under the name uncultured bacterium. RNAcentral describes it as "partial 16S ribosomal RNA". It matches the Rfam family "Bacterial small subunit ribosomal RNA", at positions 28 to 505 of the family's 1533-position model. The record is from RNAcentral.